Molecule: unclassified non-coding RNA, 167 nt
Filed under: uncultured Leptodontidium
Lineage: Eukaryota; Fungi; Ascomycota
Description: sequence contains ITS1
Source: RNAcentral
CAGAGUUUUUGCCCGCAAGGGUAGAUCUCCCACCCUAUGUUAUUCCUUCUCUGUUGCUUUGGCGGGCCGCCCGGCCUCGGUCAGGCCACCGGCUCCGGCUGGUGAGCGCCCGCCAGAGGACCCCAAACCCUAAAUGUCAGUGUCGUCUGAGUACUAUACAAUAGUUA